UACGGGGGGAGCAAGCGUUGUUCGGAUUUACUGGGCGUAAAGGGCGCGUAGGCGGCCACCGCAAGUCGACUGUGAAAUCUCCGGGCUUAACCCGGAAAGGUCAGCCGAUACUGCGGGGCUAGAGUGCAGAAGGGGCAACUGGAAUUCUCGGUGUAGCGGUGAAAUGCGUAGAUAUCGAGAGGAACACCUGCGGCGAAGGCGGGUUGCUGGGCUGACACUGACGCUGAGGCGCGAAAGCUAGGGAGCGAACGGG
This 253-nucleotide ribosomal RNA is filed under the name uncultured bacterium. Its description in RNAcentral is "partial 16S ribosomal RNA". It matches the Rfam family "Bacterial small subunit ribosomal RNA", at positions 524 to 776 of the family's 1533-position model. The record is from RNAcentral.